RNAcentral lists this ribosomal RNA (253 nucleotides) under uncultured bacterium. Its description in RNAcentral is "partial 16S ribosomal RNA". It matches the Rfam family "Bacterial small subunit ribosomal RNA", at positions 524 to 776 of the family's 1533-position model. The record is from RNAcentral.
UACGUAGGGGGCUAGCGUUGUCCGGAAUCAUUGGGCGUAAAGAGCGUGUAGGCGGCCCGGUAAGUCCGCUGUGAAAGUCGGGGGCUCAACCCUCGGAUGCCGGUGGAUACUGUCGGGCUCGAGUACGGAAGAGGCGAGUGGAAUUCCUGGUGUAGCGGUGAAAUGCGCAGAUAUCAGGAAGAACACCCGUGGCGAAGGCGGCUCUCUGGGACGGUACUGACGCUGAGACGCGAAAGCGUGGGGAGCGAACAGG